RNAcentral lists this long non-coding RNA (7936 nucleotides) under Homo sapiens (human). Its description in RNAcentral is "non-protein coding GLIS2-AS1:5". The record is from RNAcentral. Lineage: Eukaryota; Metazoa; Chordata; Mammalia; Primates; Hominidae.
GCUCUCCUGAAAGCCUCGGAGGCCCAGAGCGGGGAGCAGCGGGCCUGCAACCAGGGAACCCUGAAAGGAAGCGGGUCCUCUGUAAGAUGGGGCUGCAUCCCUGCCCCGCUCCCAGCAGCAUGGGGUCAGAUGCAAAAACUGAGGCUCAGGGGAGUGAAGUGACCCAUCCAAGGUCCCACAGCUUGUCCGUGGCAGAGCUGGGUUUCAACCCCAGGUAAGUCCAGAAGCCAUGUUCACUAUUGGCCCUUCCUAUGUCAGGGGCUCAGGCUUGGUACCCCCUCCCCGCCCAGGGACUUGUGGGGCUAGGAGGGAUAGCAGAGCAGGCAGUGGGUGGGCGCUGGAGGGGCUGGCUGGGGUGGGGGGCCCACCAGGAGGCUUGGAGAGCCGAGGGCAGAUCUGCUGCCAAAGCAAACGGCCCCACAGCCCCAGAUUCCUGGGAACCAGCUGCGGCUCCCUGCUCUGGCCAAGAGCUCCACCCUCCUUGGCCGCCCAGCAGCAGGGGCUGGCGGGCAGGGGCAGGGCCUGCUGGGGGCCCCAGGCAGGAGGGCUCGUCCUCUCAGGGCCCCCCUUCCUGACCAGGCAACAGAACCGGACUCGAAAUCUGGGGCCCCACCCGGCUCUGCUACUCCCUUUGCGUGUCUCUUCAGUCUGCGCCUCAUCCCCCUCAUCCCAAAUGGGAUUAUAUAGGACCCCCAUGUUGGGUUUCAGGGAGAAACCAAUGCAGUGCUGCACAUCCAAUCACUAUUGAGUGCUUCUCCUUCGUCCGUAACGUUCAGCACGGAGAACAGUGCCUGGCACAUAGUAGGUGCUUAAUAAAACGUGCUGAAUGAAUCGUCGCCAGUGUGCAUGAGUCCAUAGCCUUUGGCCCAUCUACCGCUGUGAGGGCAGCUGAGUGGGGACUGGCCAUCCCCUCUAUGCCACUGCAGUCUCACCCUGAACCAGGAGAACCUGGGCUCUGCCACCUGCCAGCCAGCGUGCACCCUAAACAAGCCUAUGCCCCUCAAAGAACCUCAGGCCUCUUCAAUCCUGGGGAGUGACCACAGCUGGCCCUAACCACCUUCCAGAGCCCAACUGCAUCAAAGAAAGAGCACUACAAGGCCCCGGGAAGGCCUGAUCAACCCUGGAAGGAGCUGGCCGCAGACAGGCCUCCUCCCAGGACUGGAGGGGGAGGAGCUUAUCCUGAGGCCUGGCCCAGCAGAUCCCAGGAGAGGGGCCAGGGCAGGCGGCACUUCCUGGAAGAGUGGGGGAUUCACCGUCCCUGGGAACCUUUGGCUCAGUAGGCAGCCCCUCCCCCUCCCAAGACGGGGCACUCAGCCAGCACCCCCGGACCUUUUGGGAGGGCAGACCCCCUCCCGGGGUGGGAACACAAGGGGUCCGAGGUGACCCAGCCAGGGCUGACCUCUGCCCUCUGCCGUGGGGUCCUCGGGAAAGCACCUGAAGAUGGGAUGUGCCAGGGAUCUUUUUUCUGCGUGUUCACAGAGUGUGCCCCAGGGCCAGGCUGCCUGGUUACAGCCCCCUGUGCCACCCCUGGCUGUGGGAACUCAGAAAGGCCCUGCUGUCUCUGAGCCUUGGUUUCCUUGUAGGUAACAGACACCACGGCAAUGGUCCCUGGGACUCAGGGCAUCUUGCAAGGGAGGGCCUUGUCCUCAUGCCUGCCAUAAAGAAGCUGCCAGCUACUGGUAACCUAAAGGAUUCUUGUUUCCGGCCCCAGGCUGGGGGUUCCCUGCACAGCAACUUGGGCCUGCCAAGGUCACCCAGAUAAUUCAGGCAGAGCUGAAGCUGGAAGACGGGCCGGAGGGCUUCCCUGGCCUGCACCAGCCCGGGCUUCCUAGGAGAUGCCCCACCAGAGGCACUUCCUUCUCCAACGCCAGCAGGGAGGGUGACACCGGGCUCCGGGAGCCCCGGCACACACACGCACACUCACACAGAUGGCCAUGGCAGUCCAGCUGCAGGGCCGGCCUGGCACAGAGGCCUCCCCAUCCUGGUGGCUCCGGGCCCCUGCUGCAGUGGCCUCCACCCCCCCGCUGCCUGCCCGCUGCUGCACCUUUGCACAACUAUGUCUGGUAUUUUCCUGUCUGCCCAGCUUUGGGGGGGUGCUUGGAGCUAUGAUCACCGCCUGCACCUGGGCCCCAGCCAGAGGAAAGCCCGCCCCGCAGCCCCCACACCUGCCCACCCACCCGGGCUGGGAGGGGAGGGGACCAGAGCACUGGGCCCUGCCACCCAAAUCCCUGGGAGGGGCUGGCACCAGGGAGCGAGACAGGGAUGCACGCCCAGCAAGGCUGGGGCACAGACAGCCCAGGCCCUGCCAGGCGGCACUGCCAUUCUCAGCAGACCCAGCCAGAGCUAUCUGAGGCCAGCAAAGGGAUGGGCCAGUGUAGCACAGGACAUGAGCAGGCACCCACAGCACCCCCGGAUGUACAGACACCUGUGCACAAAUGUGGCACACACAGGACAUCACAGUAACCCCUUGCCCCAGUGUCGGGGCCAGGACUCAGGAGCCUUGGCUUCUGGGGGAGAGCAGGGAUGAGGCCGGGUCCCCAGAGCGAAGGAAACACCGCGCCUCCCAAGCCACGCCUGGCUGCAGGCAGAUCCCACAAGGAGCUCCUAAGUCCUGGGGGGUCGGGGCAGGCCCGUGGCCCACGCCUCCCCUGCCUGGGGCCAGGUACCAGGUCCACUGGGAACGGCACCCGCCAACUCCGAGAGCAGGAGUGGGUAAGGCGGGCGGUGGACCUUGGCCUGCCCUCCUGCCUCGGUUCUCCAACCACGCAUUCAUGCAUUCCAACGCCAGGCCCUGCUAGAUCGAACCGGACCUUGAGGGUGCCCCGACCAAGGUGGGGUGGGAGAAACAGUGUAGGGGGGGGGCUGCUCCUGCAGGGGGUUGGGCACAGAUCCGGGUCAGCCUCAUGGAUAUGGGGUGAAGAGCCUUGGGGAGGUGGGAGCCCUGCGGGUCGGCGCCCGGUCAGCAUGCCUGCUGCACACAGUCCAUCACCCUGAUGACCCCGCGAAUGGAUGCCAUUUUCCCCAUUUUCCAUGUGGGGAAACCUGCCACUGUCACAGCCAGCAAGGGGCACAGCUGGGUUCGCCAGCAGACCCCAAAGCCCAGUGCCACAGAGGACCAGAGGCUAUGGCCCGGCUGAUCUGCAGUGACCCUACCAGUCAUGGAGUAGACGAGGAGGCAGGAGAGAAAGAGGCCCCUCAGAGAGGCUGGGACAGAACCUAGAGGGCACUGGGGAGCCACAGAGGGCUCUACACAGAAGAGUGCCACCUGCUCUCUCAGCCCAGAGCCUCCUGCCCCAGGCCCUCUCCUUUGGCACCCCCCUUCCUCAGGAUCCCCUGCCCCCUGGGAACCUGAUGCUCCCAGGUGCCAGCUCCUCCCUCACCACCAUCCAUGCCCCCCUGUUCUCUUUCCUCCAGCCACCAUCCCCUUCUGCCCCCUCCUCCACCAAGUGCUCCCUGGUUCACCCUCCCCAGCCUCGGUUUCUGGAGCUGCACACAGGCUGUGGGUCCAGGUACCUGAGGGCCUGCUGGGCAAAGACUUGCCUCUGUCCACCCCCGCUGGAGGCAGGCUGUCCCGGGUCCAAGUCCUUGCCAAUGCAUCACUGAAGCCAGUGUCACCUGUGCACAGCGUGGUGUACACAGCGCCGACCUUCAGCCCCAGGCCUCCCACUGGCCCUGGUAUCCAGAGCCUCCUUCCAAGAAGGGAGCCUGGGAGUGGGCCGGGACAUGUCUGGGACGCCGGGCAGCUCCAAACCCGCUGUGGCUACUGAAGAGAAGGCCUCACCAGCAGACCCCUGCCCCAGUUCCCACGGCCCCUGGCACGGAGCCCACCCCAUCCACCAGAGUGAACUGGGCAGUGAGGCAGGGAACCCAGAAUGAGAAAACUAGGCCUGGGUUUCCCCAUCCACAGGAGGGGGCCUGCUGAGAGGACAGCCGAAGCUCCAACAACCCCAACCACUCAUCUUAGGUGGCACAGUGGUACCUGCCCUUCACAUAUCCCAACACCUGGCACUCCGCGAAUGAGUCCGUCUCAUUCAUGUAUUCAUUCACUCGACAGACAUUCCCGCCUUUACCCCCAAGUGAGGAGGGGAGGGGUAGGUAUGGAGGGGUUCGUGCCCAAAGAGGAAUGUGACUUGCCCAAGGUCAAGGCUAGAAGCAGGGGCUGGUCUCCUGACAUAGAUGCCUCUUUCUCCCUGUCCCAGGCAAGGGACCCAGGAACAGAGCUGGACAAGGGUGUGGUGGCCCCUAGGAACCACCCUGGCCAGCUGGGAUGGUGGGAAGGGCCCAGAUCCCCCCCAGCUCCAUCUCCUGCCACGCCCUCCCAGCCCUGGCCCCCAGCCCCAGAUAGCUGGGCAAGAGCAGGCCCAGCAGGGCACCGCACACACAGGACUCCAGCCCAUGCCCUCCUCCUCAGCCACCCGCCCCUCUCUGCUCGCCUACUCUGGAAGAAAGCAAGUCCAGAAGCCGGGGACAGCCUCCAAAGCCAUCGAGGUCCUUUUCCUUCCAAAGGGGAACACCCACUGGCAGGAUCUGCCAGGCCUGGUGGCUCCAGGCCCUCGGGGCCCAGUGGCCCUAGAACCAAGCAGGGUGACCACUAGGUGCUCCGGGGGGUGCUGGGGGAGGCCGGGGCUGGCAGGGAGACGAGCACCAGCACAGGGUUGGGGGGACUUCAGAAUAGGGAGGACAAUGGAGGCCCCUACAGCCUUGCGGGGAGGGGACAUCCCAGCUCAGAGUCGGUCUGCCUGGAAGUUGGGGUGGGGAAUGGGGGCUCUGGAUGAAGGUGGGAGUGGCCCAGGGGAGAACUGGCCCAGGCAGGCCGGGACUUGCUAGACAGCCCCAGGCAGACGAUGCAGGGAAGGGGAGAGGCUUCUUCCAGACACGUUGGCCCCCGUCAUGCCCUUGCAGUGGACGUGGGGGGCAGGAGUGGAGCUGGGGGGAUUCCCAGGCUAAACCGACAUUUCAGGGGUCAGGGCCAGACAGCCCCAGACUCCAGUUCCCCUCUGUUCUUCCCCGAUUGGGAGUGACCUCGGGCCAAACCCUCAAAUGUCUCAGAGCCUCAGUUUCCCCCCACCGGCCUCCGACGACCUCUUGACUACCAGGGUCCAAGCGAGGCUGCCCUGGGAGCGUGCUGUGCCAGCGGUGGGGACCCUCCAUGUGACGGGCAGGACUGUUUUCCGGAGGCUCCCGGCCGGGGGCUGACUCAGUCCACUCAGCGGUCUCCUGGGGCCUCUGCUGGCUUCCCACCCGCCCUUGGCCAUGACUGGAGGAAGGGGCCAGGGCUGGGUCUCCGUCCCUUCCCCGGCAGCCAUCUGCCAAGGCUGGAGUCCGUGUGCACGCACAUGUGACACUCACAGGCCGGCCCCUCCCUGCGGUGGGCACUACCUGGCCUCUCAAGCACCGAAGACAAAGGGCACGAGGAGCCCAAGUCACCCGCCCCCCAGCCAUCGAACUGGAAGAGUCUCAGCCCCCACCCAUCCCCCAGCAGGGGCUGCUGGGGCAGAUGGGAAGCCCCCACCCCUCAGCUGGAAUCACUUCCCAUCUCCAUGCCCCCCAGGCCCACUUAGCCUGGCCACCAGCUAACCAGAAUCCUCCAGCCCAUCUGGGGGAGUGGGGGAGUGGAAGGCGAGUACCCGGCCUCCGUGCCUGCCCAGCCUCACCCAGGGGCUAAGCCGGAGCCAGGAGAGAAACCUGGGUCUCCUCCAGGCUGUGCCCUGCAGACCCUGCCACCAUCAUCACCAUGAUCCCUCUCCAGUCCCUGGGAUCAAAGCAGUGCCCCCACGCUGGCCCCCCAGCAGAGUACUAGAGGUGCUUGUUGGAAGCGCGGAGUCCCCGCCCCCAGCCACGCCUGACUUAGAAUUCACCAGGGUGGGGCGGAGGCGGCCACCUCAGAAACCACUGAGAGGCAGAUGUGGCCCGGGAGACUCGCUAGGGCUGUGGUCCCCACACCCAGGGCUGGCAGCAGGCUGGGGCAGGGCGCAAGUUCCCAGAGACGUGAACCCCCAGAUACACAUCAGGGCCUCAACCCAUCUCUGUGGACCCUUUCAUAGCCCCUGGGAAGGGAGGCAACUUAGGCAGAGGGUGGAGAGCAUCUUUCAGCUGGUCCCACAGAUCCCCUAGCCAGCAGGGAGAGGGUCUCUUACUGCUCAAUACACAGCCCCGCCAAGCUGGGGAUGCCCCCUACCCCUGAGAAGGGCAUUUAUCUGGGUGAGGGGAAGACCACCCAGGACCUUCCGGGGUUCCCCUGUGGUCUCAGUCACCUGCUGUGAAAUAAAGUAACAAUUAUAGCCAUGAGGAGAGGAAGGGAUUCAGGGGACACUUUUCUCUGCAGCCACCCCCGCCCCAAUUCCACCCAGCACAGGGCCUCUCCCAUGGAAUCAAUUUCCUCCUUAGGUGCCAGAGACCCCUGGGCCUCCCCUUAGAGGCAGGAACCUUCGGAGGCAGCCUCUGGGGCUGGGGGUCAGGCCAGGCGACCCACAAAAGUGCCUCCCCAGGAGCCCCCCCAAGAUGCCCCACAAGAGCUCCACAUCUGGUCCCCCAGUCACAGCUGUCGCCACCCUCCCUCAUCCAGAGAUUGCCCCAAACCCUGGCCGGCACUGGCCCUCACCCCCUGGUCCAAGUGGGGAAUUCAGAUUCCAGGCGAGUGGAGCGGGUGGCUAGAAAUACACAUGGGAAAUUGUUGCCGGGAAAACACAUUCUUCCUCCUAUAUGGCUGCCCAGACCCUGAGAGGAUUAGGUGGUGAGAGGACACUCCCACCGCCCGGGGCCAAGGCCAGGCCGGGAAGGAGGGUGGAGGGGAGAGUGGGGGCCUUGGAAAUGGGGUCCAGGCCUCCCUCCAGGCCCCAAGAAGGGGCCCUGGGAGACCUUUGUUUUCCCUCCGGCCUGUUCACUCUCAGCCCUCUACUUGUCCUCCCUGCAAGGGGAGUUCAGGCGGGGGAAGAAAUCGCUGUGGCUACCCAGUUGCAGCUGGGUUUCUCAGAAACAAAAGCUUUGGGGGGACGCGGUUCACACGAUUGUUUGCAAUGAGGUUUUGGGAUGUCUGUGGCAUCCAGUUAUUCAUCCGGGCUCCACCCUCGGAUAAUUGAGAGUUGGCUUUUGCUGGAUUUACACCCUCUUUCCUCCCCCUGACCCCCCUCCACCCAGGCUUCUCAUGGACUCUGGGAGCUCACCUGGUCUGACCCCUUGGUUUCAUAGACAAGGCCGGGAGAGGGGAGGAGUCUGACCCAAGGACCACUGGAAGUUGGUGGUGGAGCCAAGACUUGAACCCAGGGCAGGAGACUCCCAGGCCAGGGGCUUUCCCCGGUCACCCUCCAAGCUGUGACUGGGCUCCAGCCAAUCCCCAGAAGCCACUGACCCCAAAAGCAGCGGUGCCUGGAAGUGGGGUGACUCACUGUCUGGCUUCCCAGGGCACCCCCUCCCCAUUGGUGAGGGAGGGACUGGCAGGUGUCCCUGUGUAGAGAGCCAGGAGCAAGGAGAGAACUCCCCAGGGGGCCUGGGCCAGGGUCACUCAGGGGCCGAAGAGCCCCAGCUGGAGGGAUUUAACACCAAAGGUCAAAGGUCACAGACAGGGAAGGGCGGGCAGGCACAGGGGGUCAGCGCUAAUGGCAGCUCCGGAAAGGAGGGGGAGGAGGAAAGGCUAAGAAAAACAGGGUUGCUUCCAAGGGGUCCGCACACCCCCCAAAACACCAUCCCAAGUCCCUGGCACUGUCUCCUGCUUGGCUGGCUGCAGACAGGGCCAAGUUGAGCUGGAGGUGGGCAGUGAAAUGGGCCAGGCUGGAGCUUGGCAAAGGGUGUCCUGGGAGGGGCCUCCCAGGUGCAGCCCCUCCCCCUGUGCAGGCCAGGCCAGCUAGGAGGCCCAGCCUGGGCUCUGGGGAGAAGGAGAAGCAGAGGGGGAGGUCCGAGGUCACCCGGGAUGGGUGUGUGGGCUGGGCCUGGACAGCUG